UAGGGAAUCUUCGGCAAUGGACGAAAGUCUGACCGAGCAACGCCGCGUGAGUGAAGAAGGUUUUCGGAUCGUAAAACUCUUGUUGUUAGAGAAGAACAAGGGUGAGAGUAACUGUUCACCCCUUGACGGUAUCUAACCAGAAAGCCACGGCUAACUACGUGCUAG
This 165-nucleotide ribosomal RNA is filed under the name uncultured bacterium. RNAcentral's name for it is "partial 16S rRNA". It matches the Rfam family "Bacterial small subunit ribosomal RNA", at positions 355 to 511 of the family's 1533-position model. The record is from RNAcentral.